Molecule: long non-coding RNA, 265 nt
Filed under: Setaria viridis
Lineage: Eukaryota; Viridiplantae; Streptophyta; Magnoliopsida; Poales; Poaceae
Description: long non-coding RNA (SVIR_LNC004822)
Source: RNAcentral
UUAACUCACGGCCACAUUUAUCUGGAAGAUGACGCUCUGCCUGGUGCACCAUUUUGUCCUUGAGGGGAUUCAACACGCAAGCUGCAGCAUGCAUAACGCAGGCCUGCCGCACGACUAGGACUGACAUUACACAAAGACGCAGGCCUAGUACUCAAAAACUCUGUUGACUAGCAACACUUUGGUGCGGCUCCUUGGAGCUCUGUCUCCUCCUGCUAUUUCACUAUUCACACACUGUACCAACACUGUUCAUCGAAGCCUAUUUUCU